GAGAGAGUAAGACUUAACCUUAAAGAUUGCUAACCUUCUAGGCCCGCAGUUUAAAUCCGCGGCUCACUCG
RNAcentral lists this transfer RNA (70 nucleotides) under Conger myriaster (whitespotted conger). RNAcentral describes it as "tRNA-Ser(AGY)". The record is from RNAcentral. Lineage: Eukaryota; Metazoa; Chordata; Actinopteri; Anguilliformes; Congridae.